CAAUAGCGUAUAUUAAAGUUGUUGCGGUUAAAAAGCUCGUAGUUGGAUUUCUGCCGAGGACGACCGGUCUCGCUUCGCGUGAGAACCUGGAUUGGCCGAAGCAUCCCUUGGUGUGAGUGUUCGCGUCUGAAACCGCAGCAUGAGCUCCAGGGCAUUUACUUUGAGGAAAUUAGAGUGUUUCAAGCAGGCGUCUGCCUUGAAUACAUUAGCAUGGAAUAAUAGGAUAGGACUCCAGUCCUAUUUUGUUGGUUCUUGGGACUGCAGUAAUGAUUAAUAGGGACAGUCGGGGGCAUUCGUACUUAACAGUCAGAGGUGGAAUUCUUGGAUUUGUUAAAGACGAACUACUGCGAAAGCAUUUGCCAAGGAUGUUUUCAUUGA
This 378-nucleotide ribosomal RNA is filed under the name uncultured eukaryote. Its description in RNAcentral is "partial 18S ribosomal RNA". It matches the Rfam family "Eukaryotic small subunit ribosomal RNA", at positions 592 to 976 of the family's 1831-position model. The record is from RNAcentral.